AUUCUCAAAAGCACUUCACUGAAAAUCGCAUUAAUCCUUGUAAUUUCCAUGAUAAUAGGCCUGGAUCAGGGUUUUGUGAGGAAGGGGCGGGGUAAGUGGGGCCAGAGCUCCUGGGGAUCGUGGGAAAGACUAAGUGCAGAGUUCUGACCCAGGAGUUGGUUGUGGGCAGAGCUACAACUUCAGGACACUUGGGAGGGGUGCCUUGCUUCCCUUUGGCGGGGGCACCCCUCCUGGUGCUACCUCUCCACUCUGUUUCAGUGUGUGUGCGCUAUCGCGUCAGGGAGACCAACUGUAGGCUUUUGGAGAAACUUGGAAAGAGAAGUUCAGCACAGCCAGUGACUGAAGUCCCAAGGACGUGGCAGAAAAUCAAGAAAUAAAAAAGCUGGAGAGACACUAAGAGAACACUGGAUGUUAAUCAUACUGGCAUUUCUUUUUUAAAGGCUGGAGAAACUUUGGAUGCGAUUAUAAAUCAAAACCAAAAAUAAAUCUUCCUUCAAAGGACGAUCCCAGGUGCCAGCACGACUCUUGAGAGUAUUUCAGAGCUUCCUCAAUUUCAACCAAAGUCCAAAGAUUCCCUGUAAACAGAGGUACUAUGUAUUUUGAAUUCUGACUUUUGACAAUUUUCCACGGGAAUCUCAUGUUUCUGCACACCUUGUGAGAGGAGGCACAGAGCUUUCUUGUUCCAGACUAUCUUUUUAUGUAGGAAACAACCUUGGAAGAGAGAGUUUUCCCCUCUUGGACAGCCUUGCUUGCAUGCCCUUUAAAAGACUAGGCUUCCUGAGCUGGAAAUUCCUCAGCUGUGACAGCCUCUACCUGGGCUACUCGGCAUCGCCCCCAUGGAACUUGGAAGACCAGAGGAGCAGAUGAGGAACAGGAAGCUCACACAGCCAGAGAGCCUUCUGACCUGGGACUCUCCUGUCUUUGGCCAACGUCCAUGACACUGUGGCCGGUUAACUUGUUAGCUUGCACACAGCGUCUGACCCUUCAUAGUUGUUGACACCAGUCACCCCCGAAACUUAAAUCUCAUAGAAUAAAAGGCUUUCUUUGUCCUACCUGA
This is a long non-coding RNA of Herpailurus yagouaroundi (jaguarundi), 1057 nucleotides long. RefSeq lists it as uncharacterized. Lineage: Eukaryota; Metazoa; Chordata; Mammalia; Carnivora; Felidae. The record is from RefSeq and is a predicted model, not a curated record. The transcript has 2 exons.